Molecule: ribosomal RNA, 808 nt
Filed under: uncultured archaeon
Lineage: Archaea
Description: bacterial SSU rRNA
Rfam family: Archaeal small subunit ribosomal RNA
Source: RNAcentral
ACGGCUCAGUAACACGUAGCUAAUCUGCCCUUGGGACCGGAACACCCCCGGGAAACUGGGGCUAAUUCUCGAUAGGUGAAGAACUCUGGAAUGAGUCUUUGCCAAAAAGACGUUUGCGUUAUGCUCGUAGGCGUCGCCCAAGGAUGAGGCCGCGACCGAUCAGGUUGUUGGUGAGGUAAUGGCUCACCAAGCCUUUUACCGGUGCGGGCCGUGAGAGCGGGAGCCCGGAGAUGGGCACUGAGACAAGGGCCCAGGCCCUACGGGGCGCAGCAGUCGCGAAAACUUUGCAAUACACGAAAGUGUGACAGGGCUAUCCCGAGUGCCAUCCGCUGAGGAAGGCUUUUACCCAGUCUAGAACGCUGGGGGAAUAAGGAGAGGGCAAGUCUGGUGUCAGCCGCCGCGGUAAUACCAGCUCUCCGAGUGGUGUGGAUGUUUAUUGGGCCUAAAGCAUCCGUAGCUGGCUAAGUUAGUCCCUUGUUAAAUCCACCGAAUUAAUCGUUGGAUUGCGGGGGAUACUGCUUAGCUAGGGGACGAGAGAGGCAGACGGUAUUUCCGGGGUAGGGGUGAAAUCCUAUAAUCCCGGGAAGACCACCAGUGGCGAAGGCUGUCUGCUAGAACGCGCCCGACGGUGAGGGAUGAAAGCUGGGGGAGCGAACCGGAUUAGAUACCCGGGUAGUCCCAGCUGUAAACGAUGCACGCUAGGUGUUUGGACGGCCACGUGCCGUUCUAGUGCCGCAGGGAAGCUGUUAAGCCUGCCGCCUGGGGAGUACGAUCGCAAGAUUGAAACUUAAAGGAAUUGGCGGGGGAG